This 253-nucleotide ribosomal RNA is filed under the name uncultured bacterium. Its description in RNAcentral is "partial 16S ribosomal RNA". It matches the Rfam family "Bacterial small subunit ribosomal RNA", at positions 524 to 776 of the family's 1533-position model. The record is from RNAcentral.
UACAGAGGUCUCAAGCGUUGUUCGGAUUCAUUGGGCGUAAAGGGUGCGUAGGUGGCGCCGUAAGUCGGGUGUGAAAUUUCGGAGCUUAACUCCGAAGCUGCAUUCGAUACUGCGGUGCUUGAGGACUGGAGAGGAGACUGGAAUUCAUGGUGUAGCAGUGAAAUGCGUAGAGAUCAUGAGGAAGACCAGUGGCGAAGGCGGGUCUCUGGACAGUUCCUGACACUGAGGCACGAAGGCCAGGGGAGCAAACGGG